Molecule: long non-coding RNA, 472 nt
Organism: Poecilia latipinna (sailfin molly)
Lineage: Eukaryota; Metazoa; Chordata; Actinopteri; Cyprinodontiformes; Poeciliidae
Exons: 3
Source: RefSeq, a predicted model, not a curated record
UGCUGCGGCAAAUAAAACCAGAAAUCACAUCAUCUGAAUAUUUGGAUGUGUAGAAUCCUUGAUGAUUCCACAUCAGAUAAGCUAAGCCAGACCUGGCUCCAGAGGAAUUUAUCAUGUUUAUUAAUACAAGAGGAAAAUGCUAAUGACGCUCAGAUUAGCAUAUGUUUUAGCUCUUAUGCUGCAGAAAUGUCAGAAGCUUAUUAAAUAUCUUUAGUCUAUUUCUUUAAAUGUAAAAUAUGACAGUAUGUCAUCUAUGCUAAUACAAAUAUUCUGGAUUAAUUCUGAAUUUCCUGUCAGCCUCCUGUUCUGAAACCUGCCUGGUCAUAAUCUGUCCUUACCUCAGAAGACCCUUCAUCAUCAUCAUCAUCAUCAUCAUCAUCAUCAUCGUCCCUGCUGCUGGCCUCUGAUCUAAUGUCUCCUCCCUGACUUUGCUCUUUCUAUUGUGACAAUAAAGAUUUCUUUUAAAUAAUGU